GAAAUACUCCUCCCGUCCCAAAAUUCUUGUCUUAGAUUUGUCUAAAUACGGAUGUAUGAAGUCACGUUUUGGUAUUAGAUACAUCUGUAUCUAGACUAAUCUAAGACAAUAAUUUUGGGAUGGAGGGAGUAUAAG
Molecule: non-coding RNA, 135 nt
Organism: Triticum urartu
Lineage: Eukaryota; Viridiplantae; Streptophyta; Magnoliopsida; Poales; Poaceae
Source: Rfam